ACACGUAGGGGGCAAGCGUUGUCCGGAUUUAUUGGGCGUAAAGAGCUCGUAGGCGGUUCGGUAAGUCGGGUGUGAAAACUCAGGGCUCAACCCUGAGACGCCACUCGAUACUGUCGAACUAGAGUCCGGUAGGGGAGCAUGGAAUUCCUGGUGUAGCGGUGAAAUGCGUAGAGAUCAGGAGGAACAUCAGUGGCGAAGGCGCCACUCUGGGCUCAUACUGACACUGAAAAGCGAAGGCGUGGGGAUC
Molecule: ribosomal RNA, 247 nt
Filed under: uncultured bacterium
Lineage: Bacteria
Description: partial 16S ribosomal RNA
Rfam family: Bacterial small subunit ribosomal RNA
Source: RNAcentral